RNAcentral lists this ribosomal RNA (116 nucleotides) under Salmonella enterica. Lineage: Bacteria; Pseudomonadati; Pseudomonadota; Gammaproteobacteria; Enterobacterales; Enterobacteriaceae. The record is from RNAcentral.
CCUGGCGGCAGUAGCGCGGUGGUCCCACCUGACCCCAUGCCGAACUCAGAAGUGAAGCGCCGUAGCGCCGAUGGUAGUGUGGGGUCUCCCCAUGCGAGAGUAGGGAACUGCCAGGC